Long non-coding RNA from Bos taurus (domestic cattle), 1585 nucleotides. NCBI's taxonomy places the organism in Eukaryota, Metazoa, Chordata, Mammalia, Artiodactyla, Bovidae. The record is from Ensembl.
UGUGACUUCAUAGACUAUAGCCUGCCAGGCUCCUCUGUCCAUGGGAUUUCCCAGGCAAGAAUACUGGAGUGGGUAGCCAUGUGCUCCUCCAGGGAAUCUUCCCGACCCAGAGAUCAAACCUGUGCCUCCUGCAGGCAGGCAGAUUGGCAGGCAGAUUCUUUACCACUGAACCACCUGUGGUUGUUGUUCAGUCGCUCAGUAGUGUCCGACUCUUUGCGACCGCAUGGACUGCAGCACGCCAGACUUACCUGUCCUUCACCGUCUCCCGGAGCUUGCUGAAACUCAUGUCCGUUGAGUCGGUGCUGCCAUCCAACCAUCUCAUCCCCUGUCACCCCCUUCUCCCGGCCUCAGUCUUUCCCAGCAUCAGGGGCUUUUCCAAUGAGUCGGCUCUUUGCAUCAAGUGGCCAAAGUGCCACCUGGGAAACCUGCAGGUAGCAGAUGCCUAUAGGUCCCCAAAGAUGCUGUGUUUCCUCUUCCACUUGCUAAUUUUCUAGAUGCCCUGGUGGUAAAGUACUGGUUCAACUUCUCCAGGGAUCAAAUAUUCCUCAGUCCUAGGAUUUGCUAUAUUUAAACCCUGAGGAGAUUGAAGCUUUUCCCUUGGAGAAAAAGCUCAGGAGAUGAAUGAUUCACUCUUUCCAAUGAACCGUGGCCUCCCUGUGAUUUUUCUUGUUGCUUCCACUAACUUUGCUAUUCCCUCUUAUUCACUGCUUCCUGUGUUUCCUAGUCUCCAUGAUAGCUAAAUUGUUCAAGAGCAGCAGGCAAGGCUCCUUGCAGUGAUGAGAAUCUUGCCAGCUGGGGAACUUCAAGAGAACUUGGUUGUUUGAAUAACAAAUACUUACUUGACAGUCGUCUAGGAUCAGAGAGACACACGAUAGCAGAGACUGCUGGUUUGCCUUCCUCAAUAUCUACUCUCCAACAUGCCAUAAUAAGAUCACACACAGUGACCCAGAGCAAAUACUCUGUUCUCAGUCCUCCUUGCAGCUGGAUGUGUCCUGUGGCUAAAUUCUGGCCAGUAAGACGGGAAUGGAAGCUUUGUGUGGCAGCUUCCAACAACACUCCCUAAGCUCUUCCCAGGACGGACUUCUGCCACAGGGAUGAGGAAGAGGAUCUCAGAAGACUGAGGCUGAACCUCCUGGGCGCUUUGCCUCUGGAACAAAUGGCAGGAAACAUCCAUUCAACAGGCUGCUCAUCCCUUACAUUGAUCUCAAUGAGGUUCUGCCAAUUAGUGUAUUUUGUAAAAGAUCAAGAACCUAGCAACAAGGGGCUUGUGAUCGAUAUCAGGGCUUUUGUUCUAAGCAGCCACUUAUCUCAGUAAUUCUCGCUGAGAGUCCGUUGAAACAAGAGUUUCAGUUUUAUUGGAAUGGCUUAUAAUUUGUGCAUUAUUUUUAAAAGAAGAGACACACACGAGCUGGCCGAUUUCUCCCUCUCACAAUUACCUUGGAACCUCUUCUUUUUCUUUAAAAGAUCAAAAAUUGUAACAGGAAAUAGGAUUAAAUGAAUAAAUUCCAAGGCACUGAGAAGACACUGACACCACUUUUGAGUAAUCUGGCCCGACUUUCAGCGCUUGUAAUGAGUGUGUGCCCUC